GAUGAACGCUGGCGGCGUGCCUAAUACAUGCAAGUCGAACGCUGAAGGAGGAGCUUGCUCUUCUGGAUGAGUUGCGAACGGGUGAGUAACGCGUAGGUAACCUGCCUGGUAGCGGGGGAUAACUAUUGGAAACGAUAGCUAAUACCGCAUGACAACAGUUAUUGCAUGAUAACUGUUUAAAAGGGGCAACUGCUCCACUACCAGAUGGACCUGCGUUGUAUUAGCUAGUUGGUGAGGUAACGGCUCACCAAGGCGACGAUACAUAGCCGACCUGAGAGGGUGAUCGGCCACACUGGGACUGAGACACGGCCCAGAGUCCUACGGGAGGCAGCAGUAGGGAAUCUUCGGCAAUGGACGGAAGUCUGACCGAGCAACGCCGCGUGAGUGAAGAAGGUUUUCGGAUCGUAAAGCUCUGUUGUAAGAGAAGAACGAGUGUGAGAGUGGAAAGUUCACACUGUGACGGUAUCUUACCAGAAAGGGACGGCUAACUACGUG
This 495-nucleotide ribosomal RNA is filed under the name uncultured bacterium. RNAcentral describes it as "partial 16S ribosomal RNA". It matches the Rfam family "Bacterial small subunit ribosomal RNA", at positions 28 to 507 of the family's 1533-position model. The record is from RNAcentral.